This 1668-nucleotide long non-coding RNA is filed under the name Nicotiana tabacum (common tobacco). RNAcentral's name for it is "long non-coding RNA (NTAB_LNC017662)". The record is from RNAcentral. Lineage: Eukaryota; Viridiplantae; Streptophyta; Magnoliopsida; Solanales; Solanaceae.
UCAGUAUGUUUUCCUCUGUGAAUAUCAAUAAUAUGAGAGUGUAUGAAUGCCUUAAUGUUCGAUCCCCUUACAAAAAUAGUGGCUAUCCCUCUUAUAGUGGAGGAAUCCUACUUUAGAUAUAAUUAAAAAUACAUAGUGGGGAUCCCAUGAUAAAUUAAUUUUUCCCUAAUUUCCGCCGAGAUUCUCUCCCUUAAUGCGGCUGUAACGGCUCUUGUUCUCUUGGCUCAAUCUUGGUCGGAUUUGGUAUCGGUCGAUUUCUAGAUUUAGAGCUCGAUAUUAACUCGAGCUCGAUAUUGACUCGAGCUCGAUAUUGACUCGGGGCUCGGUAUCGAAUCGGGCUUGAUAUUGGUCGGUCUCUGGCUCUUAAGCUUGAUGACACUGCUUCACUUCAUAGUUCGAUUUGGACUCAAGCUCAGUAAUGUCUUCGAGCUCGGUAUUUGAUCGGUCCCAGAAAUUUGAGCUUGGUAACCUGGAUUCAGAUCUCAUCUCGAUAUUAUGAAAAUGACCUUCGGUCCAUUAUGUUCCAAUCUUGACUAAUCAUACGAAGGUCGAAACCAGUUUUGACCGUAUACAAUUAUAUACUCUGCAAAUAAUAAAACCAAUAACCGAUGAAAUUAACAAUCUUUCCAAACCUUAGAUCAAUCAUAACUUAGGAUUAAUAAACCAAGCAACACAAUAAAAUAGUACGUAAAUAUUUAAACGUUCGUAAAUUCACAAGCUCGCAUUUCAGUAAAGUGAUUCUCCAUACCAACCACAAUAUGCACUAUAUAAUAAGUAUAUUCUAUAAGUUUUGACAUUAUGUGUAUAGUUUGACAAAUUUCAAUCACAAUAAGCUGAAAGAAGUUAUAAUGAUUUUUUUUUAAAACUUAAUAAUAAGGAGAAAGAAUGUGUGAAAACAAUUAACAUCUAAUUUAACAGAAAGGUCAAAUGAUAACAUGUAAAAAUUUGUAGAGUAUUCAUGUCUAAAUGAGUGAAAACAAUGAUCAUAGCUCGAUUAAUCAAUUUAUUUUGCAUAGUAGUAACUGGUUGAAGCUGCUUCCAGUACAAUAUAUAUGAUUUAGUUUACAAGAUAGCAGCUUAUUGAUUUUGACUCAAUUACAUCUUUAUCCUAUGAUACAAGAUUAGACAAGUUUACCGACAAAACCUACAAAGUUUCCCUAUUACUCACACCAUUCUAUGUAAAUAGCCUUCCUUGAGUACGUCGAAACUUAAAUAAGAACAAGGUCCUUAAAGCCAAAAGGAGAGCAAAAUAUCAAAAAGAGGGGCUAAAACUUGCUUCUAUACAACAUGGAAUUCCUUCAUCAAUCAAGAAUGUCCCUCCUUUGUAAAUGGCUCAUAACUAGUUCCAGAUACAUGUCUUUUACGGUUGAUAGAAAACAAUCCUGCAAUUUAUAUGCGUAAAAGAAAAGGUUAAAAUCACGCAAAGGCAAAACGAUUGUACUCGCUUAAUGCUCAAGAAAGAAGGUCACUGUCCUUUGAAAUGAGGUGAAAUGAUCUGAAUUCUGCUUUUAGUGUGCAGUAUGGUAUUGCCAAGCCUUUAAGUUCAUAUAACUUGUUAUAUGAAUCAUAAAUUAGGCUGUUGAAAGUUUUGAUGUUAAAACAUAGCAAUGCCAAUAAUAUAUAGUCAAAGUUAUGAAAAAGUUCGCGCGGGGGGGGGGGGGGGGGGGG